CGGGAUGUGGCUCAGCUUGGUAGAGCACCUGGUUUGGGACCAGGGGGUCGCAGGUUCGAAUCCUGUCAUCCCGA
This is a non-coding RNA of Thermoactinomyces vulgaris, 74 nucleotides long. The record is from Rfam. NCBI's taxonomy places the organism in Bacteria, Bacillati, Bacillota, Bacilli, Caryophanales, Thermoactinomycetaceae.